Molecule: long non-coding RNA, 266 nt
Organism: Ictalurus punctatus (channel catfish)
Lineage: Eukaryota; Metazoa; Chordata; Actinopteri; Siluriformes; Ictaluridae
Source: Ensembl
CACACUGGAAGUGAAAAUGCAUGUUGAGAUGUCUUUUGAAGGCAAGGCCAGUCCUCCCCUUUACUUCUAUAAACAGGGGAAGCUUCGUGGAGAUCCUGGGGGACUCUGACUUGCCAUCCUCGAGUCUUAUGGCCGUUGACAGCUCCACACUUGACAGGCAGCCCAGACGAGCUGCCACUGCACAUGGAGCCCCUCCCAAGAAGACGGGUCCUGCUGGGGUUUAAUCUCAGCGUGGCGGCCCAUUCUCCUGACAGGCUUUAAUUCUC